AUACGGAGGAUCCGAGCGUUAUCCGGAUUUAUUGGGUUUAAAGGGAGCGUAGGUGGAUUGUUAAGUCAGUUGUGAAAGUUUGCGGCUCAACCGUAAAAUUGCAGUUGAAACUGGCAGUCUUGAGUACAGUAGAGGUGGGCGGAAUUCGUGGUGUAGCGGUGAAAUGCUUAGAUAUCACGAAGAACUCCGAUUGCGAAGGCAGCUCACUAGACUGUUACUGACACUGAUGCUCGAAAGUGUGGGUAUCAAACAGGAUUAGAUACCCUGGUAGGCCACACAGUAAACGAUGAAUACUCGCUGUUUGCGAUAUACAGUAAGCGGCCAAGCGAAAGCAUUAAGUAUUCCACCUGGGGAGUACGCCGGCAACGGUGAAACUCAAAGGAAUUGACGGGG
Molecule: ribosomal RNA, 393 nt
Filed under: uncultured bacterium
Lineage: Bacteria
Description: partial 16S ribosomal RNA
Rfam family: Bacterial small subunit ribosomal RNA
Source: RNAcentral